RNAcentral lists this long non-coding RNA (270 nucleotides) under Elaeis guineensis (African oil palm). RNAcentral's name for it is "long non-coding RNA (EGUI_LNC018869)". The record is from RNAcentral. Lineage: Eukaryota; Viridiplantae; Streptophyta; Magnoliopsida; Arecales; Arecaceae.
AUGGAUAAUGGAAGAAAAAAUAUAUAUUUUUAUGGAUCUGCAAUCAAAAAUAUUGCUGCAAGGCUCCGGAGAUGAAGUCAGUAAUAAACCAAGCUAAAGAAUUGAGAUUGAGCCAAUUGAACUAUGAGUGAAAUCCACAAAAAAAUCUUAAGAUCAUGGGAUACCCUCCGAUUUAGGACUUUUCGAUACUUAAGUCAGCCAGAGUUUUGAGAACAGAUGGUGGAAAUGGAGAAAUAGAAAGCAAAAAUUGAGAGUUUGAGAGUAGAGAGA